GAUGAACGCUGGCGGCGUGCUUAACACAUGCAAGUCGAACGAUGAAGCCCAGCUUGCUGGGUGGCUUCGUGGCGAACGGGUGAGUAACACGUGAGUAACCUGCCCUUAACUCUGGGAUAAGCCUGGGAAACUGGGUCUAAUACCGGAUAGGAGCGUCCACCGCAUGGUGGGUGUUGGAAAGAUUUAUCGGUUUUGGAUGGACUCGCGGCCUAUCAGCUUGUUGGUGAGGUAAUGGCUCACCAAGGCGACGACGGGUAGCCGGCCUGAGAGGGUGACCGGCCACACUGGGACUGAGACACGGCCCAGACUCCUACGGGAGGCAGCAGUGGGGAAUAUUGCACAAUGGGCGCAAGCCUGAUGCAGCGACGCCGCGUGAGGGAUGACGGCCUUCGGGUUGUAAACCUCUUUCAGUAGGGAAGAAGCGAAAGUGACGGUACCUGCAGAAGAAGCACCGGCUAACUACGUG
This 466-nucleotide ribosomal RNA is filed under the name uncultured bacterium. RNAcentral describes it as "partial 16S ribosomal RNA". It matches the Rfam family "Bacterial small subunit ribosomal RNA", at positions 28 to 507 of the family's 1533-position model. The record is from RNAcentral.